RNAcentral lists this unclassified non-coding RNA (223 nucleotides) under uncultured Actinomycetes bacterium. Its description in RNAcentral is "uncultured actinobacterium contains 16S-23S intergenic spacer region". The record is from RNAcentral. Lineage: Bacteria; Bacillati; Actinomycetota; Actinomycetes.
UCCGAGUUGACCCCGGCAGUCUCCCACGAGUCCCCGCCAUAACGCGCUGGCAACGUAGGAUAAGGGUUGCGCUCGUUGCGGGACUUAACCCAACAUCUCACGACACGAGCUGACGACAGCCAUGCACCACCUGUACACCAACCACAAGGGAAGCCCCAUCUCUGGGGAUGUCUGGCGCAUGUCAAGCCCAGGUAAGGUGGGGAUGACGUAAUGGAAGCAAGCU